Molecule: ribosomal RNA, 2409 nt
Filed under: Triticum aestivum (bread wheat)
Lineage: Eukaryota; Viridiplantae; Streptophyta; Magnoliopsida; Poales; Poaceae
Description: partial small subunit ribosomal RNA
Source: RNAcentral
AUGGCCGAGGCUGCUGUUAAGGCCGUCGUCGGGAACGUGAACAGCCUUGCCGUUCAGGAGACCACCCUGCUAUGUGGAGUCAACCUCGAAGUGGAGUGCCUGAAAAAUGAGCUGGAGCGACUGAAGUGGUACCUGAAAUCUGCCGACGCUAAAUGGAGAUCGGGAGAUGACCGUGUGGCUACCUGGGUCAGCCAGAUCAGGGCCGUCUCAUAUGAGGCUGAGAAUGUCAUCGAGGUCGCCGAUUACAUGGGCAAGAGAAACAGGCUCAAGAAGGGCUUCUUGGGUGCCAUCUCAAGGUAUGCUCACUUACCCGGUGACUUGAUCACUCUUCAUAAAGUCGGUGUUGAAAUCAAGCGUGUUAGAAGGAAGCUCGAUGAGAUAUUUCAAAGCGCAGAACGUUUGAAAUUUAAUUUAGACACUAGUGUUGUUGACAAGGUUCACAUAGAUGGUGAGUCUCAACAGGAAUAUGGUCUUAUAUACGAAAACAUUGAAGAUGAUUUUGUGAUGGUUGGUUUUGAAGAAGAGUACGAAGAAAUAGUUGAUAAAUUAGUUGACAUAGAGAAGGAUCUUAGUGUUGUCUCCAUAGUUGCCAUUGGUGGUGCGGGAAAAACAACACUUGCUAGAAAAGUCUACUCUUCAUCUAUAGUAGAACAACACUUUGAGAAAAUUGCUUGGGUGACUGUAUCUGAAAAGUAUAAGGGCAUUGAUUUAAUGAAGGAUAUUAUGAAACAAAUAAUGGGGGCAAGGGGUGAUUUACUUGAACAAAUGGAAGAGUAUGAGGUGGGAAAGAAGACCCAUGAUUUUCUCUUGCAUAAAAGAUACUUGGUAGUUCUCGAUGAUGUGUGGGAAACCGACACGUGGGACCAAAUAAACAAAAAGGUCAAAGCCUUUCCAAAUGCAAGUAAUGGCAGUAGAGUACUCUUAACUACUCGAAAGGAAGAUGUCGCAAAUCAUAUACAAAUGCCAACCCAUGUUCAUCAUUUGAAGAAGUUAGACGAAGAUGAAAGUUGGAAACUUUUUAACAGCAAAGCUCUACCAUCACACAUAAGGAGAACCAUAAUUGAUGUGUAUGAGUUUGAAGAACUAGGGAGAAACCUUGCAAGAAAAUGUGAUGGAUUACCUCUUGCCCUUGCGGUUUUGGGAGGCUAUCUAUCAAGGAAUCUAAACACACAAACAUGGUGUGAUAUACUCUUGGAUUGGCCAUCAACCAAGAAUGGACAGAUGAUGCGAGAAAUACUAGCUCGCAGUUACAAAGACCUGGCAAAUCAUCACUUGAGAUCGUGUUACCUCUAUUUUGCUGCUUUUCCAGAGGAUUACAAAAUAUCUGUAUUGGCUCUUAUUGAAAUAUGGAUAGCAGAAAGAUUCAUUCCGCAUUUACCAAAUCAUAAACAAGAAGAAACAGCACAUAAGUAUGUACUCGAUUUGGCUCAGAGAAACUUGGUCCAAGUUAUCGACAGAAGUGAGGUACAUGGAUGGAUUCUAACAGUAAGAAUUCAUGACAAUCUACGUGACUGGUGUAUAGAAGAAGCAAGGCAAGAUGGUUUUCUUGAUGUCAUCAACAAAACUGCAGGACAAGGUGGUCCAUCUUCAUCUAAUACCAUGAUAUCAUAUCGUUCUUCUGUCCAAAACUUGAAUGGUGAUCUCAUUUGCCAUGAAAGCAUAUCUAAUUCAUCACGAACACUUGUUGUCUUCAGAAUUCCUUCGGUAUCCUUCUCCAACCAGCUAAAAUUGUUGAGGGUUCUUCAUGUGGAAGAUUCAAGUCUGGAAAAUUUCUCUAGGAUAAUUGGUGGGUGCAUUUACCUAAGAUACCUCAGGUUUAGAAGAUGCAAAGGUGUGGCACUGCCUUCUUCAAUAGGAAAACUCCUUUACUUGGAGACUAUAGAUCUAAAAUCCACACAAAUGGACUCAGUAGUACCAAAGUCCCUCUGGAAUAUCCCUACUCUGAGGCAUGUUUAUCUUGGAAAUGAGUUUUCCCCACCAAGGAGUCUGCGACAUAAAGAGCUCCAGACCUUUGAGUUAUAUCUUACACGUGCCGAAACUAAAUACCGACGUCAUAACAUGGUUAUUUUUCUGGGGCAGAUGAAUCAACUAACAACGUUCUCUUGGGCUAUUAGCCGUAUCCCAUCAGAAGUGAUUAAUAUAUUUGCAAACAUGACUCAUCUUGUUGAUAUUUAUCUCAACAAAUUUAAUGUGCUCAAGACGAUUCCCGCUGAGUUCCCACAAAGCCUACGGUGUCUUGUUCUAUUUGCCGAUAUCAUUGAACAAGAUCCGAUGCCAAUCUUGGAGAAGCUUCCAUCUCUUGUGGUGCUGGAGUUAUCGGGAUAUCAUGGACGAAUCAUGUCCUGCUCUGCCAAAGGGUUUCCUCGCAUGCAAUCGCUAAAACUUGAUGAGUUCUCCAUUGAGGAGUAG